GCAAGUCGAACGGUAACAGAGGUGCUUGCACCUGCUGACGAGUGGCGAAAGGGUGAGUAACACGUGAAUAACCUGCCCUCAAGUCGGGGAUAGCCUUUGGAAACGAAGAUUAAUACCGGAUGUGAAGAGUUAACCGCAUGGUUUACUUUUUGAAAUUUUUUGCUUGAGGAUGGAUUCGCGCCCCAUUAGCUAGUUGGUGAGGUAACGGCUCACCAAGGCUGUGACGGGUAGGUGGUCUGAGAGGAUGGUC
This 250-nucleotide ribosomal RNA is filed under the name uncultured bacterium. RNAcentral's name for it is "partial 16S ribosomal RNA". It matches the Rfam family "Bacterial small subunit ribosomal RNA", at positions 57 to 305 of the family's 1533-position model. The record is from RNAcentral.